UUUUAUUUGAGAGUUUGAUCCUGGCUCAGGAUGAACGCUGGCGGCGUGCCUAACACAUGCAAGUUGAGCGAUUUACUUCGUAAAGAGCGGCGGACGGGUGAGUAACGCGUGGGUAACCUACCCUGUACACACGGAUAACAUACCGAAAGGUAUGCUAAUACGGGAUAAUAUAUUUGAGAGGCAUCUCUUAAAUAUCAAAGGUGAGCCAGUACAGGAUGGACCCGCGUCUGAUUAGCUAGUUGGUAAGGUAACGGCUUACCAAGGCGACGAUCAGUAGCCGACCUGAGAGGGUGAUCGGCCACAUUGGAACUGAGACACGGUCCAAACUCCUACGGGAGGCAGCAGUGGGGAAUAUUGCACAAUGGGCGAAAGCCUGAUGCAGCAACGCCGCGUGAGUGAUGAAGGCCUUCGGGUCGUAAAACUCUGUCCUCAAGGAAGAU
RNAcentral lists this ribosomal RNA (440 nucleotides) under Clostridioides difficile. Its description in RNAcentral is "bacterial SSU rRNA". It matches the Rfam family "Bacterial small subunit ribosomal RNA", at positions 1 to 449 of the family's 1533-position model. The record is from RNAcentral. Lineage: Bacteria; Bacillati; Bacillota; Clostridia; Peptostreptococcales; Peptostreptococcaceae.